RNAcentral lists this ribosomal RNA (478 nucleotides) under uncultured bacterium. RNAcentral describes it as "bacterial SSU rRNA". It matches the Rfam family "Bacterial small subunit ribosomal RNA", at positions 34 to 507 of the family's 1533-position model. The record is from RNAcentral.
CGCUGGCGGCGUGCCUAACACAUGCAAGUCGAACGGGGUUACGAGAGCUUGCUCUUGUAACUUAGUGGCGAACGGGUGAGUAACGCGUGAGAAACCUGCCUCUCAGUGGGGGACAACAGUUGGAAACGACUGCUAAUACCGCAUAAUGUAUCGAGAGGGCAUCCUUUUGAUACCAAAGCUUUAUGUGCUGAAAGAUGGUCUCGCGUCUGAUUAGCUAGAUGGCGGGGUAACGGCCCACCAUGGCGACGAUCAGUAGCCGGUCUGAGAGGAUGAACGGCCACAUUGGGACUGAGAUACGGCCCAGACUCCUACGGGAGGCAGCAGUGGGGAAUAUUGGUCAAUGGUCUAACGACUGAACCAGCCAUGCCGCGUGAAGGUCACGGCCCUAUGGGUCUUAAACUUCUUUUGUCAGGGAGCAAUAAGGUCUACGUGUAGAUUGAUGAGAGUACCUGACGAAUAAGCAUCGGCUAACUCCGUG